GUAAUACGUAGGGUGCAAGCGUUGUCCGGAAUUAUUGGGCGUAAAGAGCUCGUAGGCGGUUUGUCGCGUCUGCUGUGAAAUCCCGAGGCUCAACCUCGGGCUUGCAGUGGGUACGGGCAGACUAGAGUGCGGUAGGGGAGAUUGGAAUUCCUGGUGUAGCGGUGGAAUGCGCAGAUAUCAGGAGGAACACCGAUGGCGAAGGCAGAUCUCUGGGCCGUAACUGACGCUGAGGAGCGAAAGCGUGGGGAGCGAACAGGAUUAGAUACCCUGGUAGUCCACGCCGUAAACGUUGGGCGCUAGAUGUAGGGACCUUUCCACGGUUUCUGUGUCGUAGCUAACGCAUUAAGCGCCCCGCCUGGGGAGUACGGCCGCAAGGCUAAAACUCAAAGGAAUUGACGGGGGCCCGCACAAGCGGCGGAGCAUGCGGAUUAAUUCGAUGCAACGCGAAGAACCUUACCAAGGCUUGACAUACACCGGAAACGGCCAGAGAUGGUCGCCCCCUUGUGGUCGGUGUACAGGUGGUGCAUGGUUGUCGUCAGCUCGUGUCGUGAGAUGUUGGGUUAAGUCCCGCAACGAGCGCAACCCUCGUUCUAUGUUGCCAGCGCGUUAUGGCGGGGACUCAUAGGAGACUGCCGGGGUCAACUCGGAGGAAGGUGGGGAUGACGUCAAAUCAUCAUGCCCCUUAUGUCUUGGGCUUCACGCAUGCUACAAUGGCCGGUACAAAGGGCUGCGAUACCGUAAGGUGGAGCGAAUCCCAAAAAGCCGGUCUCAGUUCGGAUUGAGGUCUGCAACUCGACCUCAUGAAGUCGGAGUCGCUAGUAAUCGCAGAUCAGCAACGCUGCGGUGAAUACGUUCCCGGGCCUUGUACACACCGCCCGUCAAGUCAUGAAAGUCGGUAACACCCGAAGCCGGUGGCCUAACCCUUGUGGAAGGAGCCGUCGAAGGUGGGAUCGGUGAUUAGGACU
RNAcentral lists this ribosomal RNA (965 nucleotides) under Curtobacterium sp. Its description in RNAcentral is "bacterial SSU rRNA". It matches the Rfam family "Bacterial small subunit ribosomal RNA", at positions 520 to 1482 of the family's 1533-position model. Lineage: Bacteria; Bacillati; Actinomycetota; Actinomycetes; Micrococcales; Microbacteriaceae. The record is from RNAcentral.